Long non-coding RNA from Myotis brandtii (Brandt's bat), 1305 nucleotides. RefSeq lists it as uncharacterized. The record is from RefSeq and is a predicted model, not a curated record. The transcript is spliced from 3 exons. Lineage: Eukaryota; Metazoa; Chordata; Mammalia; Chiroptera; Vespertilionidae.
UGGCAGAUGGUGCCUGGCUGACUUACACAACUUCUCUGGGCCUGAACUACUGCAUCUGCAGAGUAGGAACCGGAUUACCAACAGAGUAAUGAGAUUGGCCAUGAGGAUCUGAGAAUUGACGUAUGUGUGACAGCAGCCACAUUCAGUGCACAGAUUGGUUCUCCACUUCGAUUGUUGUGAAACAUAUUUCAUGUGAGCCAGAUCGAUAUCAUUGACCAGCUCAACGGACUCCACGCCACUCCCAGUCAAUGUGAUAAGGUCUUGAGACAAGGCGAUUAAUUAUGCCAGAAGCUGGAUGCUCUCAUACUCAUGGUGCUUUAAUAAAUGAAGUCAAGUCACCUGCAAGCAGCAUGACAGGCACAUUGGAGGUUGAGGACCUCUGGAAUAGAUUAUAUUUCUGCCUUCACGGAGCUGGCAGUCUCAUCAGAGCCAAACUGUAAACACCAAACAAGGAAGUAGAUACAUAAUUACAAACUGAGAAGUGGCCAUGAAGGAACUGAACUGGUGCUGGAGGGAGACGAGCAGGGGAAGACCCUCCAUUGGAAAGGGGACCAGAAAGGGUCUUGGAGGAGGUGACAUUCCAGCAGGUCAAACCACUUAAGAUGAAAAUGAAUCAGACUUGAAGGAAGACUGCAGAGACCUGCCAGGCUAGACUGUGAAGGAUAUUUGCAGACACAUAGAAAGACUUCAGAAUUUAUUCCAAGGUCCCCGUGGGUGAAGAGGAAGCAAGGGCCCACUGAGGGAGAAGGGAAUGAUCAGACUUGCACUGGAGCAGCAGCAGAUCCAUGCCCACAGCCCGUGGGUUCCCACAGCUCUCCCUGUUACAUUGUGCGUCUCCUGCUUUGUUCAGGAGCCUCAGAUGCUGGGUCACCAAGAUCUAAAUGCUAGAGUUGCUCAGAGUGUGGACUCCCACAGUUCAAGAUGAAGCUAGUAGGUCCAGUCCCUUUGGCUUCCAAACUGGAAUUUAAAUUUAAUUCCUAUGAGCUCCCUGAUGUUCUUACUUCCCAGCCUGACUCCAUAGAGAUCCUUAACUGAUGUCAGAAUUCCUUGCCAUAAUCUACAGUCAUGGAAACUAUAGUUUCUUUCAGAAAUAUACACACAUAUACAUGCAUGUAUAUGUAAAAAUUUAAAUCAAUUAUGCUUUUUUUUGGGGGGGGGCAGGGGGGGCAGGCUGAAAAAUGAUAUUGGUGAGUCACACAGCAGAUAAAGGCAUCUCUACCAAAGGACUAUCAGGAAUGAAGCAGAGCUUUUCUAUGCAACCUGAAGCUCUCUAUAUAAAUGAAUAAAUGAAAUUAUAAAUAAAGA